RNAcentral lists this RNase P RNA (377 nucleotides) under Desulfuribacillus alkaliarsenatis. Its description in RNAcentral is "low GC Gram-positive bacterium strain AHT28 Bacterial RNase P class B". It matches the Rfam family "Bacterial RNase P class B". From Rfam's summary of the family: Ribonuclease P (RNase P) is a ubiquitous endoribonuclease, found in archaea, bacteria and eukarya as well as chloroplasts and mitochondria. Its best characterised activity is the generation of mature 5'-ends of tRNAs by cleaving the 5'-leader elements of precursor-tRNAs. The record is from Rfam by way of RNAcentral. Lineage: Bacteria; Bacillati; Bacillota; Desulfuribacillia; Desulfuribacillales; Desulfuribacillaceae.
UAUUGUGAGCAGUCGCAGUACUACAUUGAAAAGUGUAGUGUUGAGGAAAGUCCACGCUCGCCUAAGCUGUGAUGCUUAGAGUUUGGGUGCCUGACGAAAAAAUAAGUCAGGGCAGUAUGAAAGUGCUGACGGCGGUGAAAUGGACUCACUGAGUUCAGAAUAGCCUGAAAGUGCCACAGUGACGAAGUCCUUUUGGCGACAAAAGGAGUGGAACGAGGUAAACCCCACUUGCGAGAAACCUAAAUUAUGGUAAGGGAGCUAUCCGGAGGGAAUAAGAACUGACGGAUGGAUUGAAUAAUGGAUUUGCGACAAAUUCGUUAUUUGAUAGAUAGAUGGCUGCUACCUCAGAAAUGAGGUACAGAACGUGGCUUAUAGCA